GUUAAGUUAGAAAGGGCGCACGGUGAAUGCCUUGGCACUAGGAGCCGAUGAAGGACGGGACUAACACCGAUAUGCUUCGGGAGCUGUAAGUGAGCUUUGAUCCGGAGAUUUCCGAAUGGGGAAACCCACUGUUCGUAAUGGAACAGUAUCUUUAUCUGAAUACAUAGGAUAUUGAAGGCAGACCCGGGGAACUGAAACAUCUAAGUACCCGGAGGAAGAGAAAGCAAAUGCGAUUUCCUGAGUAGCGGCGAGCGAAACGGAAUUAGCCCAAACCAAGAGGCUUGCCUCUUGGGGUUGUAGGACACUCUAUACGGAGUUACAAAGGAACGAAGUAAAUGAAGCGACCUGGAAAGGUCCGUCAAAGAAGGUAACAACCCUGUAGUUGAAACUUCGUUCCCUCUUGAGUGGAUCCUGAGUACGGCGGAACACGUGAAAUUCCGUCGGAAGCUGGGAGGACCAUCUCCCAAGGCUAAAUACUACCUAGUGACCGAUAGUGAACCAGUACCGUGAGGGAAAGGUGAAAAGCACCCCGGAAGGGGAGUGAAAGAGAUCCUGAAACCGUGUGCCUACAAGUAGUCAGAGCCCGUUAAUGGGUGAUGGCGUGCCUUUUGUAGAAUGAACCGGCGAGUUACGAUCCCAUGCAAGGUUAAGCUGAUAAGGCGGAGCCGUAGCGAAAGCGAGUCUGAAUAGGGCGUUUAGUAUGUGGUUGUAGACCCGAAACCAGGUGAUCUACCCAUGUCCAGGGUGAAGUUCAGGUAACACUGAAUGGAGGCCCGAACCCACGCACGUUGAAAAGUGCGGGGAUGAGGUGUGGGUAGCGGAGAAAUUCCAAUCGAACCUGGAGAUAGCUGGUUCUCUCCGAAAUAGCUUUAGGGCUAGCCUCAUGUUGUGAGAGUCUUGGAGGUAGAGCACUGAUUGGACUAGGGGCCCCCAACGGGUUACCGAAUUCAGUCAAACUCCGAAUGCCAAAGACUUAUCCAUGGGAGUCAGACUGCGAGUGAUAAGAUCCGUAGUCAAAAGGGAAACAGCCCAGACCACCAGCUAAGGUCCCCAAGUAUACGUUAAGUGGAAAAGGAUGUGGAGUUGCUUAGACAACCAGGAUGUUGGCUUAGAAGCAGCCACCAUUUAAAGAGUGCGUAAUAGCUCACUGGUCGAGUGACUCUGCGCCGAAAAUGUACCGGGGCUAAACGUAUCACCGAAGCUGUGGAUUGACAUCUUUGAUGUCAGUGGUAGGAGAGCGUUCUAAGUGCAGCGAAGUCAGACCGUAAGGACUGGUGGAGCGCUUAGAAGUGAGAAUGCCGGUAUGAGUAGCGAAAGACAAGUGAGAAUCUUGUCCACCGAAUGCCUAAGGUUUCCUGAGGAAGGCUCGUCCGCUCAGGGUUAGUCGGGACCUAAGCCGAGGCUGAAAAGCGUAGGCGAUGGCCAACAGGUUGAUAUUCCUGUACCACCUCCCCGCCGUUUGAGUAAUGGGGGGACGCAGUAGGAUAGGGUAAGCGCGCUGCUGGAUAUGCGCGUUCAAGCAGUUAGGCUGAUGAGUAGGCAAAUCCGCUCAUCAUAAAGGCUGAGCUGUGAUGACGAGGGAAUUAUAGUACCGAAGUUCCUGAUUCCACACUGCCAAGAAAAGCCUCUAGCGAGGCGGGAGGUGCCCGUACCGCAAACCGACACAGGUAGGCGAGGAGAGAAUCCUAAGGUGAUCGAGAGAACUCUCGUUAAGGAACUCGGCAAAAUGACCCCGUAACUUCGGGAGAAGGGGUGCUCUGGUAGGGUGUAUAGCCCGAGAGAGCCGCAGUGAAUAGGCCCAGGCGACUGUUUAGCAAAAACACAGGUCUCUGCGAAGCCGCAAGGCGAAGUAUAGGGGCUGACGCCUGCCCGGUGCUGGAAGGUUAAGAGGAGGGGUUAUCCUUUGGGAGAAGCUCUGAAUCGAAGCCCCAGUAAACGGCGGCCGUAACUAUAACGGUCCUAAGGUAGCGAAAUUCCUUGUCGGGUAAGUUCCGACCCGCACGAAAGGCGUAACGAUCUGGGCACUGUCUCAACGAGAGACUCGGUGAAAUUAUAGUACCUGUGAAGAUGCAGGUUACCCGCGACAGGACGGAAAGACCCCGUGGAGCUUUACUGUAGCCUGAUAUUGAAUUUUGGUACAGCUUGUACAGGAUAGGUAGGAGCCUGAGAAGCCGGAGCGCUAGCUUCGGUGGAGGCGUCGGUGGGAUACUACCCUGGCUGUAUUGAAAUUCUAACCCGCGGCCCUGAUCGGGCCGGGAGACAGUGUCAGGUGGGCAGUUUGACUGGGGCGGUCGCCUCCUAAAAUGUAACGGAGGCGCCCAAAGGUUCCCUCAGAAUGGUUGGAAAUCAUUCGUAGAGUGUAAAGGCACAAGGGAGCUUGACUGCGAGACCUACAAGUCGAGCAGGGACGAAAGUCGGGCUUAGUGAUCCGGUGGUUCCGCAUGGAAGGGCCAUCGCUCAACGGAUAAAAGCUACCCCGGGGAUAACAGGCUUAUCUCCCCCAAGAGUCCACAUCGACGGGGAGGUUUGGCACCUCGAUGUCGGCUCAUCGCAUCCUGGGGCUGUAGUCGGUCCCAAGGGUUGGGCUGUUCGCCCAUUAAAGCGGUACGCGAGCUGGGUUCAGAACGUCGUGAGACAGUUCGGUCCCUAUCCGUCGUGGGCGUAGGAAAUUUGAGAGGAGCUGUCCUUAGUACGAGAGGACCGGGAUGGACACACCGCUGGUGUACCAGUUGUCUUGCCAAAGGCAUCGCUGGGUAGCUAUGUGUGGACGGGAUAAGUGCUGAAAGCAUCUAAGCAUGAAGCCCCCCUCAAGAUGAGAUUUCCCAUAGCGCAAGCUAGUAAGAUCCCUGAAAGAUGAUCAGGUUGAUAGGUCAGAGGUGGAAGCGUGGCGACAUGUGUAGCUGACUGAUACUAAUCGAUCGAGGACUUAACC
RNAcentral lists this ribosomal RNA (2932 nucleotides) under Priestia megaterium Q3. RNAcentral's name for it is "bacterial LSU rRNA". It matches the Rfam family "Bacterial large subunit ribosomal RNA". The record is from RNAcentral. Lineage: Bacteria; Bacillati; Bacillota; Bacilli; Caryophanales; Bacillaceae.